AUAUUUUAGCAUUAUAUCUAUGUGGACUUGUGAUAUGAGGGUCCCCUGACUAGGUCCUCUACUUGGCAAUUUAAACCAUCUGGAGGUAUUUAACCAUUCAUUGUGUAAACCACUUUGUACGCUUCCAUUUAUCCAACCGUCCAUUUUGAAUGGACAGCUGAGAUGACCCCAAUCACAAUGUCACGUCUCUACACUAUUUUU
RNAcentral lists this long non-coding RNA (201 nucleotides) under Amborella trichopoda. RNAcentral's name for it is "long non-coding RNA (ATRI_LNC000621)". Lineage: Eukaryota; Viridiplantae; Streptophyta; Magnoliopsida; Amborellales; Amborellaceae. The record is from RNAcentral.